Long non-coding RNA from Lethenteron reissneri (Far Eastern brook lamprey), 648 nucleotides. RefSeq lists it as uncharacterized. The record is from RefSeq and is a predicted model, not a curated record. NCBI's taxonomy places the organism in Eukaryota, Metazoa, Chordata, Hyperoartia, Petromyzontiformes, Petromyzontidae.
GUGAUGGGAGAGGCACCAACGGACCACCGAAACUCGGCUUGGAUAGACAGAGACCAGAUUACAGAUUUGCCGCAAACACCUAUGACAGUGACAAUGAAGAACAGUGUUCGCAGUUUGGUGGAUUCUUACUUGGAAGGACAUAACGGAAGGAAACAAAACCAAUGACGGCGUGGAGGGUCCCAACUGUCGUCAUCUCGGCUGUCACACCAACACCGGGGGCUGAGCUACUCCCGUCCACGGCGCACGCGUCGUGAGCGCGUCGUGAGCGCGUCGUGCGGAGCGUCCUAAAGGUGAGGCUGCAAUGUCGAGACGCCGUUGCAGAGCAAUUGGCGGACACGGGCGUUCUGUAGAAAGGAGACACUCAUUUUUACCCGUAAAUUAGUUUUUUUUGGGUUAGAUUUAGUAAAUAUGAAAGUGUCGUUAAACCCGCCACCACCCGGCAUAGCCAAUUAGUAAGUACGUAACGUACAUGGAACUUCUUUUCCACGAUACUUAGCCAAACGUGCUAACCGGCAGUGCGGGUGGAGGGCACAACAAGCGAAACACAAACGAGCACUUCUAAAUAAAUGAGUGCUACCAAUGCGCCACAACACAGCCGCCCACAUAGCGGGGCGAAGGGAGUUCCCGACAGUGGGAGCAGCAGAAGAG